AUUGGAACGCUGGCGGCCGUCCUAACACAUGCAAGUCGAGCGGAUGGACGGGAGCUUGCUCCCUGAUUCAGCGGCGGACGGGUGAAGUAAUGCCUAGAGAAUUCUGCCUGGUAGUGGGGGACAACGUUCCGAAAGCGAGCGCUAAUACGGCGCAUACAUCCUAAGGGAGAUAUAAUGGGGGAUCUCGGACCUCAGGCUAAUCAGGGGAUGAGCCUAGGGUCGGAUUAGCUAGUUGGUGGGGUAAUGGCUCACCUAGGCGACGAUCCGCGUAACUGGUCUGAGAGGAUGAUCAGUCACACUGCGAACUGAGACACGGUCCAAGCUCCUACGGGAGGCAGCAGGGGGUAUAUUGGACAAUGGGCGAAAGCCUGAUCCAGCCAUGCCGCGUGUGUGAAGAAGGUCUUCGGAUUGUAAAGCACUUUAAGUUGGGAAGAAGGGUAGUAAGUUCUACCUUGCUGUUUGACGUUACCAC
This 472-nucleotide ribosomal RNA is filed under the name Pseudomonas citronellolis. Its description in RNAcentral is "bacterial SSU rRNA". It matches the Rfam family "Bacterial small subunit ribosomal RNA", at positions 31 to 481 of the family's 1533-position model. The record is from RNAcentral. Lineage: Bacteria; Pseudomonadati; Pseudomonadota; Gammaproteobacteria; Pseudomonadales; Pseudomonadaceae.